UACUAUUCUUCGAGUAGGAAAGGUAAUAGUAGAAAUUUAAUUUAACUUUUGUUCGUCGGUUCUAACAAUGAUCUGUCUAGCAUAUUUUUAGGUGGACAGAAAAGGACGAACAAAAUUUUGGCGCCGUUGCCGGGGAGGCAAAUCGAGAAGCAAGAACGAUCACAAAGAUCAAAUUGGAUUUUGGAUGCCCGAAGUGAACGCACUCCGGUAGUAAGUUUUUAUUUUUAUUAUUUUGAUUAUUUUCAGUUAAUAAUUUCGUAGUUAUUAAAUUCUGAAAUUUGAAAUUCGAAAAAAAAUUGAAAAAAAAAUUGAAAAAAAAUAUAUUUCAAAAUUCAAAAAUUCAAAAAUUUAAAUUCAAAAUUUGAAUUCUGAAAUUCGAAAUUUGAAAUUUAAAUUUAAAAAAAAUAAAAAUAAAAAUAAAGUAAAAUAAAAAAUUCAAAAAAUAAAAUAAAAUAAAAUAAAAUAUCUAUAUUAUUUUUGUUAGUAAUUGAUAAGGUGCAAUCUCCUGAAGUUAUCAUACCUUUAUUUGGGCUCCACACGGAGUAAUCUCCAGAGCUUAGAACGGGCAUUCGGAGAUUGACUGACGCAUAAGGAUUGUAUUUAGUUUACAUUCAAGUUAUUGCUAAAAAAAUAAAUAAAAAAUUAUAAAAAA
This 652-nucleotide long non-coding RNA is filed under the name Phoenix dactylifera (date palm). RNAcentral describes it as "long non-coding RNA (PDAC_LNC019734)". Lineage: Eukaryota; Viridiplantae; Streptophyta; Magnoliopsida; Arecales; Arecaceae. The record is from RNAcentral.